Non-coding RNA from Daldinia eschscholtzii, 104 nucleotides. NCBI's taxonomy places the organism in Eukaryota, Fungi, Ascomycota, Sordariomycetes, Xylariales, Hypoxylaceae. The record is from the annotation of a GenBank genome assembly.
GUCUUGGUGGCUCAGUUGGCUAGAGCGUUGGUCUCAUACUAUAGUGUGAUUCAACCACAGGUUGGGCUAUCCAAAGGUCGUGAGUUCGAGCCUCACCCAGGACA